Molecule: long non-coding RNA, 22553 nt
Filed under: Musa acuminata (dwarf banana)
Lineage: Eukaryota; Viridiplantae; Streptophyta; Magnoliopsida; Zingiberales; Musaceae
Description: long non-coding RNA (MACU_LNC006811)
Source: RNAcentral
UUUUUUUUUUUUCAGGUUGAGGUGCACCAUGUUGUCUGCAAUAUGCUGUUUUACGUAUUGCAUUUUUCACCAUAAGUAGGAUUGUCUCCCAUCCCUAUCAGCACCCAUCUCCACCCUCUAGCAUGUACAACAAUGUUCGUAUUUGGAAAUUUCUGUAAAAUUAACUUAUGAUGAUUGCAGAAACUUUUUUGCAACAUCGCAUAAUUUUAAUCUAUACAUCGCAUAAUUUUAAACUUUUUUGCAACUUACUUGAAGCAAAUGCAAGAGGAUAACCAACCAGAUGUCCCAGUCCCAAUAUUAGAGUUUUGUUAACCAUCAUAAGCGAUCCAAAUGUCGAUAUUUCACUGUAUAAGUAAUAUCUUGAGUUAAUCGCAUCAGCAAAAGCCAGAGUGAUGAUACAAAUGACAGGCACGAGAAUUGCUGAUGAUCCAAAUGCGAGUAGCACCAACCAAACACUUGCUAAAGCAAAAGCUUGUGAAGGAUCUUCCUGCCCUAAACACAAGUCAAAUCAAAACCUCAACCAAGUAAAAGGAAGUUUCCAUGAACCAGAAAAUAGAGAGGGAAAAGGACACAGGCUAACAAGAAUUUACCUCAGCAUCUGCAUAGGUUGAUUGUCGCCUGAGGCUACAUCGAGGAUACUUAACAACAGAUUUUGAACCAUACAGCCGCAACUUCAACUGUUAUAGAAAAUACAAACGUUAAGCAAAAGAUAGUGAAAAUGGACAUGAAGGAAAGACAGCCACUUGAUUAUACCUCAAUUUUAUCAAACAUCGCAUCAACAAUCAAAGGUUUACCAUUGUAAUAUGAAUCUCGUGCCUACAACAUAAAAGCAAGAUGAACAAGUAGAUGAAUUUACACAUCCAAACUUCCUAAUUCUGAGGAGAACUUCCAAAGAUCAUAAAUAAUGGACAUAACCAUAAAUAACGCUUUGCCCAAUGUUUCAUUUCUUUCGAUCAAAAUAAAAACAGAGCUCCAGAUUAUGACUUAAAGUGACUGCAACAAGAAAAAGUAGUUCAAUUCAUCUCAUAGGCAAAUUAAUUGAAUUUCAUGCUUCCUGGUACAAAAGAAAAGCCAAAGAAAAUCAUAAAACUAAAGUUCAUCUACUUGCAGAAACCUAUCAAUUAAUGAACUCCAACUAAAAAUGGAUGACAAAAAUAAUUAGCAAAAGAAUGAUGAUAUGACCAAACUUACUUAAAUGUAUUAUGAGGCAGAAAAUUAUCGAACCAUUUUGGAGGAUGAAGGUAAUUAGAAGCUUUAUGUGGUUUAUUCCAAAAACAAUGAAGCUCAUGUUGCAAAUUACUGAUCUCCCUGAUCUGUAGAGCUGAAUCUGAAUCCUAUAUAGACUUCAAGAUUUAUAGUACUGCAUGUUAGUAAAUUUUGCAAACACAUUUAAAGAAAAGGGAGUUCCAAAUAUGCACAUCAGUUCUUGUUCUUCUUUAUUUAACAUCUAGCACGUUUGAAGAUUGCAGAAUCUCUUCAUUGUUAUCCUCGAAUAGUCCAGUGUGUUAUUUGCCUCUUGCAGGAUGGACAUCACAACAAGAAUGCUUUUACCUGCUGAUAGAGGGCCUCCAGCAUCUCCUUACUGGCGGUCUCGAUAGGGCCGACGUAGAGGCAGGAGGGGGCAUCCGCCGCGACCGCGAGUACCGGGGAGAACGACCUUCGGCCGCCGCCGCGCGGCCGCGGCCGGAGCCGGUCGUGCGCGGAAAGGGGGCGGGCGCGGAGGACGUGGAAGGCGGGGACGGCUGCCGCUGCGGAGGAGGAGGACGAGGAGGAGGACAGGGGCAUGAGGCCCGCUGGCGCCUCCGCGCGUGGAGGCAGCGGGCAGCGCGGUGUAAUCGCGGCCGCAGACGCUGCGUUGUGGCCACCAUUUAAGAAGCCACGUCUCUCGACGCACCACCACAAGACGAUCGCAAGCGUGAGUGGAUGUGUGUCUCUCAUUGGAUAUUUCUCUUUCAGCUUUGCGCGGCCAAUCAUCGAAUAUAUAAAUAUACAUAUAAUAAUAUCUGUUAGUUUUGUCCAAAAUAAUAUGUCCAAUUAAUCUGUGAAAAUGAUCUUAUUUUGGUCUCCCAUAAAAUAUAUAAAAGAUGAAAUUAAAAAAUUACCCCACACAAAGAAAUUAUAAUAACCUUUUUUUUUUUUACUUUACUCAAGACAUUAGGAAAACAUACAAAGUGGAUUAUCCGCUUUGCAUCGAAAUUAUUAACUCAUCCAUAAUUUCUUAUCUCAAACGAAACAAAAAUAAUAUUUUGUUUAAAGAUUCAUUUAAUAAAAUCUCACUAAUAUUUUAAAUUUUGAUUCUAUAUUAAAUUAGAUUACAGUUAAUUAUGUCAAAUCUUAUGAACACGAAUCGAGUCAAAUUCAAUGCAUGUAUCAUUAAAGCUAUUGGAAUUUAUACACCGAAAACAUGAGCGAUAUCAAGAGCAUCUAUGAAGAACAGAUGAUACUGAAAGAGAACUUGCAAGAUACAAGAUUACGCCUUUGUGUUCUUUCUAUCCCCUAAGUAGGAAGCGAGGAAGCCGAUGGCCUUGGAUGAGCAAUCUUUCUAUUCCCUACAUCUUCCCAGCUUCUCCAACGAGGCAUGGCGGGCCGUUGGCCACUUGAGUUCUGUUCGGUCUUGGGGUUUCUCUCGGCAUCCUUGCCAUGCUGAAGCUGCUCCAAUGCCACUACCACUUGAUCCAUGGUUGGCCUGUGCUUUGUUUCCAAGGACAGGCACCUGUCUGCGAGACCGGCUAUUUUCUGGGCUCCUGCCAGUGAGUACUGUGCUCUCAAUCUGGAAUCCAGGAUGCUGAUGAUCUUCCUCUUGCUCGCAAGAUGAGGCUUCGCCCACUCCACCAAUUUGUACUCUCCGGUGGGGCGGUUCUUGUCGAUGGCACGUCGGCCAGUCAAUAUCUCGAGAAGAACAACUCCAAAGCUAUAGACAUCACUCUUGGCAGUCAAAUGUCCUUUGAAAGUUUAUGAUGCAAAUCAACAAGUCAGCACAUGUCUCAAGCAUCACUUUCAUUAAGAAUGUAUGCUCACCAAACCUACCUUCUCCAUGUAAUGUGUAGAAGAUUACAAUCUAUAAAGAUGAGAGAGAAAUAGUUUACCCAAAGUUACACGUAAUGACUACUCGGAGGCACCCUUAAAUAAUAUCUUUAUUUCCUCAUUGACUUGACUAAUAUUUAGCUUAAAUAACUCCAAGGCUCUAAUCUCAUGUAAAUCACCGAUAUAGUAGUAAUCGGAAUGGCAAAUAAAGGAUGAAACAAGAUGCCUAAUCACUAUAUAAGCUACAAGGCCGGCCAUCUCCAACAUUACUUGUUGAUAUUUCACACAAACCAAGUAGUAAGCAAAGUAUUGUUUGAGAUGAUAUGUGCUAUUGCUUUUGUGGCAAUAGUUUUAACCAUCACCUUAUGUGCAGAUUGCAUAAUUGAUCCUAUUUAAAAGUGAAGCAUUCUAAAUAGAUAUACUAAAAGCCAUGAGAGGCCGAGUUGGAUCAAGAUAAACUAAUGGUAAGUAAAAUGAUAAACGAUAUAAUUAGUUUAAUAGACACCUGACCAACUCAUGUGUUCAUGAGGAAAUUGCAAAUUUUAUGUGACUUAAAUGACUAAACAGAUGAGGGGUUUUUGUGAAUUACAAAUCAGAUGACAAGCAAAAGUAUUCCAGGCUGUGAAGAAGACACAUUCAGCAUUUGCAAUAAUAAAGAUGCAACAAAAUUACCUGUUGCAAGAUACUCAGGAGCAGCAUAUCCAUAUGUCCCCAUGACCCUUGUAGAAACAUGGCUUUUAUCACCGGUAGGACCAUCUUUCGCCAAUCCAAAAUCAGAAAGCUUUGCAUUAUAAUUCUGUACAUAAAUCGGAAACAUCAAUUCUGAAAGUUGAAUGAACGUCCAUUUCAAUGUUGAAAACCUAGAUGACUACAUACUGAAUCAAGAAGCACAUUGGAGGUUUUGAAAUCACGAUAAAUGACUUUCGCCUUGCUGCUAUGCAGAAAAGCAAGUCCUUUUGCAGCUCCCAGAGCAACCUUCAUGCGGAGGUUCCAGGAGAGUGGCUGAUAGUAUGAACUCCCUGCAUCACCAUAAGAGCAUACAAACUGAGAUUCAUACAGAUUGAAGUAGAGUAACAGCAAACAGUAGCAAUCUCUUAGAAAACAAUUCCUUCAAGUAAAACGUGAAGAACACAUCCGGUAUAAUAUCAGAUACAGUCCAUGAAGAACAUACUCCUGAAGAGAUGAUUCUCCAAGCUUCCCCGAGACAUGAAUUCAUACACAAGAAGUCUUUGUUCAUCCUCCAAGCAGUACCCAAUAAGCUUUACAAGGUUAGGAUGAGACAGCUGACUCAAGUAAUUAACCUCCGCCUACAAGAUUUAAAGAAGAUGCUAUUGAGACUACAUGUAUCUGGUAAGCUACAGAAUAGAAUUUGAAAUCUAAGUUACCAGCUCGAUAUACAUAUCAUUCAUACAUGAGGUGGAUCUCAACACUAAGAAAUCAGAGAACAAAAGAGAGCAAAGAUUUUGCAGGAAUCAAUACUCACCAACCAUUCUUUGUGACCCUGGAAACCUUCCUGGUUGAGUUUCUUCACAGCGAUAACCAUUCCAGUCCCAGGCUUAGCUGCUGCCAACGUGUGCUCAUUGAUCCAUCCCUUGAAGACUGAACCAAAGCCUCCCUCUCCCAACACACUGUCUGGCCGGAAAUUCCUGGUGGCAGUUCUGAGUUCAUUGAAGGUGAAGCUCUUCAGAUUGGAUGACGUCAAGAUCUCACCCUCACUCCGUGGAGUCGGCGGCACGGAGGACGCAGACACCCUGCUGCUGGAACUGCUUAAAACGUUUCCCUUCCUGCUCCCAUGUGGAGAGUCCUCUCCUAGGCAUUCAAAUACAGUGUCUACUAGUAAAUCAGACUCAAAAGAAAAAGCCACAGACAAUGCUUUCAUCGUAAACUCUUGCAUUAGCCAAUCAAUUGAAUCAAGUAAUACAACUUAGCACAAUUCAUCACCUUACUUAACAUUGUGGAACAAAAAAUACGAGCGGCAUACUUUACCAGAUAAAUUAGCAAAAUUGAGCCUAUGUUUGAAAGGAAUAACUGCUAAUAGGCAAUUUCCACAAAAGAAGACUUACACGGGAAUAAUUCCAAGAGAAACACAAAAUUCACUCUUCCAACACUAUAUAUAUGUGUGUAUAUAUAAGGCAGUAAAACAACUCUUAUUGAGUUGAUCGAUAUGCCGAUCCAUCAAAUCGAUACCUCUUCCUACCCCUCCAAUGACAAACUGAAAUGUUGUUUGCCCUAAAUUAUUUCCAAAAUUAGAAAUUUAAUGAUCUCUAAGAACAGAUUCAGAACAACUUACUCCCUUCAGGGAUGACAAGGUGGGAUCUCUGAUGUGGUAAUAGGAAAUUGUGAUAUGUCACUGCCGUGUUAACAUGACAUCAGAUAAAUGCCCCAUAUUACUGGUCCACAUUAAUUAAUGGAUGACAUACCUGCAUCUGCAUGUCUCCUUGGUGCCAGGAUCAUUCAUCGUGCCACUACUCAUCACCUGCGCGGUAGCACAUCUGACACCUCUUCUUAGAAGGUUUAACACUAGGCAUUAAUGGACGACGGAAAGGGGUCAGGUAGGCUCCUCCGUCCGCCUCCGAACGACGACCAAAAGUGAUUCAUCGACAAGAGAACGGUGGAUUCCCUAAUCUACCAUACUAUCAUUAGUAAUCCCUCAGAGAAGACAGUUAAAUAUUGCAACUUUUUUCACUUAAUCCACUAAAAAACCAUUCAAUUUCUAUGGAAAACGUCCCAAGGUUAUAAGCUAUGAUCGAACUCAGAAGCUGCAUAAAACAAGAUGGAACCUUUAGUACCUGAAGCGAAGACGUCGUGGGAGGGGUUCUCCGCCUUGACCUUAGCGCCCCAGCAAUUACCCAUCGGAGAACAACCCAAGCGUGACGACAGCCACGGCCUUCAAUCUACUGGCAACCCCCGAAAGAUAGGGUUCUCCGCGGCCAAAUCUGUGAGGCAAGAACCACCGGAUCCGGCAAGGAAGCAGCCUUUUGGCGCAGUAAUGCAGCAGGAAGCCGAGGUUAACAGCGAUUCGGCUUGCUCACCAAGAGCGGAUCUCCAGUUGCGGAGCUCCAAAUGAAAGCUGGGAUUCAGCGGCGAAGAGGAGCGAGCUUGAAUCGAGUGACGAGUGGAGAGGGCGCAUAAAAAGAAGAGAGAAAGAGGAAGAGAGAGAGUGAUAGGUGCUUCUUUUUGCGCUUUUGGUGUUCUGUGUUGCUUUUUAUUAAGUCCGUCACGAAGGUUGACUUCAGAGUCAUGGAUUGGAGAGUCGUAAUUAAUAGCGACACAAACUAUAUAUAUAUAUAUAUAUAUAUAUAUAUAUACUCUUUCAUUAAUAUUGUUUAUAACAGAUUAUUUGAUCGCAAGAAAUGAUAAACUUUGAACUAAAUAUAGGACUUGGAGUCCUUCGUUCUCAUAUUUCUCAAUCAAUAUGGAACUAAAUAAUUUUAUUAGUGUUUUAUUCCGAAGGGGAGCCAAGGACGAGUUUGCUUGGUCGAAGUGUAAGCAUCGGGUCCUCCUUCGAUCGGUCAAUCAUUAGUAUGAUCCAUAGGCUCACGAGGAAUUAUCCAUUUUGUGCAAUGGGCAUACCCGUAUAAUUUAUCAUUUACGAAGCAUUAAUGCGGUCAUUAGUGUGGCUCAUAGGCUUACGAGAAAUUAUCCGCUUUAGACAAUGAAUGUAUUCGUACGAUUUUAUCCUUUUUCAUAUAAGCUCCGUAAAGCACUUAGUUCCAUAAGGGAGAUUUCAUGAACUUAUAAGUUCUUAGUUCCAUACUCCUCGAUUAAUAUUUGAACUAAAUGAUAUAUAUAUAAUCACUGUCCACGACUUUUCCACGUGGAUUGAUCUUUCGUCUUUGAUGUCAAUUCCAGCCUCUGUGCCAGUCUAGAAAGCAAUAAUACUUCACGUAAAUAAUGGCAGGAGCAGCUUUACAAGUACGGUUACAAUGGAUCUGCAAUCUUAUUUGAAAGCUCUGGAGGUGGGUUUACUCUCUGCGACAUGACACCGAGAUAAUAUAAAGCUUGAUAGGAAUUGAUAUAUAGAGGAGAGAGGCUUAAGGUUUGGCAACUCUGUCGUAUCACUGUCUCCAUUAAUUGGAGUUUGCUCGAGGGAAGAAUGAGGGAGGUCAAAAAGAGGGCUCUGCAACUUGCGGCAGCGGCACGAGAUUGCACGUAAGUGUCGACCAAAAGCUGUGGUCUCAAACGAACAUGAACACCUCACGAGAAUGACAUGAAGGAUUAGGCCAUGGUUGAAGUGUCUGCAAAUCAUAAUCUCAAAGAUAUCGAGAUGACAAAAUCCGAUUACGUUCAGAUGCAAUGUCCUCAAUAAAUCCGAUGAAAGUGCCCUAUAUAUACGUAAGAGUCGUGAAGGAAAGCUGCGUUUGGAUAGAAGUGGGGGCAGACAAUAAUAAAGAGGGGGGGUCGACUUCGUAAGAGGUUGAGCUGUGUCCCCAUGUGAGGGAGCUGAAGCUUUUCUUCCUCCCUACUGCAGAGAGGCGGAGGAGGGAGGAGGCAGCCCCCACUUUGACUUGCUCGAUUUCUAGAUGACGGACAAAGAGCAUGCACCAUUAUUACAAGGAUGCAAGAGAUGAAGGAUAACAGGAGGAAGCAGGCUGGGGAAGAUGAUGUGCUUCUCAAGGGGUACGAAGUGGGGUGAUGACGUCUCUAACAUGUCUUUGGAUUCGUCAUACUGUGAAAGUAAUGAAACUAAACUUUCCAAGCCUAAACUACACAUUUCCCUACAAUUCCCGCAUGCAAGAAACUAAACUUUCAAGUCUAAUCCCUAAAGGCAACGAAUGGAAGAAAGAAAAAAAGAAAAAAAGAGGGGAGAGUAUAUUAUAAUACAUUAAUUGUGAAUUAAAAUGCAAUUAACUAAACGAGGAAACUAUUUGCCAUUACUGCAUGUAAACAGAUAUAAUAAGACAGUAAUUCUCAUGGCAAGUUAUUUUAAUGAUCCACUAGCACACGUGAAAGAUAGAUGUCAUGAAAGCAUCUUAUUGCUGUCGGCAUUGCCAGCUAAAAUGUGGUAAAGAGCAGGUCUCCCAAGUGGUGGAGAAGCUGAACUUACAAUUAGUUGGAAAUGAUAAUUAUCACAAAGCAAAUAAACAAGUUGUGCCGAUUUUUGAGAGUUGCAGAAUCUGAAAUAUGGCUUAUUCAUCCUUGAGGUGCUUCCCUCACUCGGUUCUUAGCAAAGAAACUACAAGAAAAACCCACGGAUUCUCAACACAAAAUUCAGAGGUCAAUACAUGAGCCUCGACUUGAGAGUUAGGAGUGUGUCCUCAGGCAGACGACUUGACUGUAGCAGCAUUGAUGAUGUCCACGAAUUCCGGCUGUAAUAAACAAAUAUAGAAAGGAAAGAAGAUGAGAUCUAUAGCCAACGUAACCAACAAAUUUAGAGUCAACUUGCUAAUUGAAGAAAAUUCCAAAGCACAUUCUCUUCAGUACUCAUGUCAUGUAGCCACCGUCUGCGACAUGCCAGAGAUAAAACAUGCAUCUAGCAAAGGCAAUGGGACAGCAAGCAUCUUCAUAACGUGUGAGGAUCAUGAAGUUGCCAACUAGUAGAUGACUGUUAUUCAUAUUGUGGUUGUCAACCCAACCCCCAAAAAACAAGUCAAUCUUAGUGCAAGUUGAAAUCCAAGCAAUUUUUCCCUCUGAAAAGGGUACCAGACAUGUUUUUGUGGUCAUUCUUCAUGCCAGAAAAGUAAAUUAUCACUCUUGUGGGUUUCAGAUAGUGACUAAUGACAGCCAAGAAUAUGUAAUAUAUUUAAGGACAUGCAAAUCUAGACAGACAUGUAGGAAAUAUAGACACAUACCUUCAAAGAAGCACCUCCUACAAGAAAUCCAUCGACAUCAGGCUGUGCUGCAAGCUCUUUGCAGUUAGCCCCACUUACAGAACCUGCAGGAAUUUCAUUUCUCAUGUUAGCAAAAAUUUCACAAGUAAUAUAUAAGAUGUUACUCCAUACGAGUCUCAUCAAAAAAAGGAAACACAAAUAAAAGAAACACGUAAAGAAUUACUCCCAGUUCACCAUGCUCAGUGCAACUCAAAGUGAUACAAGUACAGUCGUCUGGAACUUAUGGAGACAAGAGGAGAAAGGAAAAUCAAGUUGACAAUGAACAUUUACCUCCAUAUAUGAUCCUGGUUGACGCUGCAACUUCAGCACUCACGUUUGUUUGAAGCCACUUCCUUAAUUCCAAGUGGACCUGAGAAUCAUUGGAACAUGUGGCAGAAAUGGAUCAUAAUGAACUCUGAAAGAAAUGUCUUGGGAAAAAUCAGUAUCACAAGACAUCCUUGUGAAGCUAACAUAGCUCAGCAUGGAAAACAUGUCCACUGGUGUGAGCCUUAUGUUACCAUAGUGCUGUUUUGGCACACCCCUGAACUUGGUGCCCACGGUCUGUACUAACAGGUAUGGGUGGGCAUGACCAACAUAUGAAGUCCUUGGUGUUACCGAGAAAAAGUUUUUUCUAAGCUGCACCAUGCAUGAGCAUUAAAGAUGCCUGAUGUUACAUAUCUAGGAAAAAGAAUAAUUUAACCCUAUGAAAUUCAAUUAUACGUGGUGAUCAUAUGUUGCUAAAUAUAAAAAUGAACAGCAUAUUUUAUUUUACAGGAACUUAGUGACCAAUUAUAUUCGAGAAAUGGUGGCCGGAAACUUUAAGCACGUUUAGAUUGUUAGGUUAGAGACUUAUAGGAAGAUCAAAAACUUGCAAAUAAAUAGGCUAGGUUCAAAACAGAAUCACUUAGCAACAAGCCUGUAUUGUGUUACUAUGGCAUCAAAAAUGCAGAAAAUCUUUAACAAUUUUUUUUUGAUAUAACAUAUAUAGCAUGCCAACCUAUUUUGGCCACUUUGGACAAGACAAAUUUGACUAAUGAUUGUGAAUUUUACAUAAAAUUUGACAAAUAAAUGUGAGUUUUAGAUCUGCUGUUGAAGUAGCAUAUGAGACAUCACUGUGAUCUCCAAGGUAAAGACCUCAUUGUCCCAGUAGUCUUAGUGAAUAUAGAUGCAGAUGAUGGCAUAUUUUGGUAAAUAUUUUCCAAAACCAUACACAAGCAUUAUGAAGUAAUAUCCACAGAACUCGAGAGUUGACAUGGAAACAUGUGCAAAGAACUAAUACCUCCUGGGCCUGAGCUGGGGUAGCAACCUUUCCAGUUCCAAUUGCCCAAACUGGCUCAUAAGCCACAACCACAUUGGUCCAGUCAGAAAUCCGUUCUGUAUGAGAAAAAAUCAAUUAGACAGGGUACCUAAUAGUAAAAAAUAUUUGGUACAGAUGUUUCAUCCUACAAAAUCAGUUAGACCUACUACAUAGAAUGACACCCAAGAAUGACAGAUGACCCUAAAACUUUUUACAGUUAUUAAAGUUUAUAUCAUGAUUCCACAAGUACAAGAAGGUGCAUAGCUCAAUUGAACCAACGGGCAACAGCUUUAAUUUAUGAUAUGCAAAGCCAUAAAUACUUCUCUAGCUAUAUACAACACUAGGAUGUUUGUUGUGUACUUGAAAUCUAUUAUUAUCACAUUUUCUUCUACAUAGGAAGGGUUAAAUUGAACUACCAUUAUUAUUUAAGUCAAUGAACAUUCUAAUUCAUCCAUUGGAGAAGAACAAAAUUGUAACUCAUGAGACAUCCAAGUUAUGUAGCUAAAGCAUUUGCUUGUUGUGUCAAAUUCAAGAUUGUGAACAUCAUACAAAAUCAAAGAUGACAAAGAAGAAUUGAAUUCUUGGAAUUUAUUCCACUAAAAUAUAUUGACUGUGCUCCUAUUUGAUCGAAUGCAAUUUAGUCAGAUAAGGGCACGCUUGGGUAAAACAAUAAGAUUGCAUUAAAUUUGCCCAUAAUUCACAUUGAUACACCCAGGAUCCCAUAGUGCCAAGAGACUGCAUUAAAUUUGCCCAUAAUUCACUCAGAUAAAACUUUCCUUUUUCACACAAAAUAAAGAAAAGUAUACUUUAAAGUAACCAAAGACCUAAAACAACCACAAUAUUAACAAAUACUAGCUCAUGCUCUUCCUGGUUACAUGCAUCAGAUCUGGACACUGAUGACCACUUAAACAUGUGGCAUACCUAAAUGUUAAAUGUAACCAUCUCUUAUAUAGAGUCACAAUGUGAUUGAUACCUAAGCCAUGACCUAGCAAUAAACUUGAAACCAUACUGGAAUAUGACUGAGACACAGUUACUUAAAACUUCCCAUGCCAGCAGAAUUGAUGUAAAAACACAUGAUACAACACUUUCUUUUUACACUGGAUGUGUACACAAAACUCAGCCCACAAGUUAAAGUGACAAUAACACGAGGCAUGCAGAGUACCUGCGAUAGCUUUUGUUUGUGCAGCAACUACAUCCAUCGUGGUUCCUGACUCACGCUGCUCAAGUGUCUCACCAACACAAGCAAUCACCUUCAGGCCUUUAGACAGUGCAUAUGCAACUUUAUCUCCAACAAACUGCCCAAGAAAAUAAAAAAUGUGAAUUAGAAGGUAUUGAAUAUCUAACAAAUUUGAUGACAACUUCAGCAAAUUUCCUUGAUAGGCAUAUUAACGGGGAAGACAGCUAAAAUAUAUGAGAUAAAAUUCUAGUUGCUUGCUGGUAAAAGUGUAUGGUCAUUUUGCAUCACAAGUUGUUAACCAAAAUAUACUAGCAUAUUCUACCAAAUUACAUUGUAUACCAGAAGCUAAUACAACUUCCUUUUGUUCCUAUAAGUAUGCAUUAUAUCGUUGGCAUCCAUAGUUUAAAUAUUAUGGAGAACAAGAUCUUAUAAGUAUAAUAAUUUGAUUAGAAACUAGCAUAAAGCUUAAUCCAGCACUUAACUGAUUUCAUCGAGUGAUAAAAUGUGCAACUAAAUUUUCAUGUCGAUGCUAACUGCUGUCUUUUUUGGAACAUGCAUAACAAGAUCGGGAAAGCAAGAUAUAUGGCACUUUAGCAAGCUACUAGCUAAUUGUUAAUGCAGCACAUCUAGGAUUUGCAUAUAGCCUUUUAGCACAUAGGCAACUUACCUCAUUUGAUUCACUCAACAAAAGCCUUCGUUCAGAGUGUCCCAGAAUGACCCAUGGAAUGUCAAGGUUGACAAGCAUCUCAGCACUGCACAAGGAAAAACAAAUAUAUUCAAAUUAGGAGUGCCCAAUUGUUUUACAACAUUGUUAUAACUUAAAGAUGUGCAAGUAGGCAAUGAAAUGGCCAUUCAAAUAAAAACACCAUCAAAGUUGAAAAACCUAAAAAUAUACUACAGAAUGAACCAAAAAUAGAAACCUUAAAAAUCAAAAGUUCAUAACAUAGUAAGAAUUUGAUGAAAAAAGGCCCAUAAAAUGUGAUCCAAUGAUAAAAAUAUAAAUAAGAGAAAAAGUUGUUCUUAUUUGAACAGAGAGCAUGAACAAGUUCAAAUUCAUCUAGGGACAAAAAUCAUACCUAAUCUCACCAGUGUAAGCACCUCCUUUCUUAACCCAACAAUUUUGUGCUGCGACAUGGAAUUCAGGGCGCAACGAGCUUUUUACGAGCGGAAGAAAAACAAAUGAAGGGCUAACCACCACAUCUGCAGAGAUAAUAAUACAUAUAAUUUAAUGCGUUUACAGUGGUUGCACAUCGACAACUAGCCUAUCUAACAGUUAUAAAUAGAUACAACAUGUAAAUGACAGCAUACACAUUCUAAUUCCACAAGACAGUUUUGCAGAACAUGUGAGGAACUGGAAAAGCAACUCAGCGGAUAACACCAAUGAGUAUCAAGAACUAAAGGUUUCAAAGGCGAAGAUAUAAUUCUAUCUCUCAGUCAAAUAAAAUUGACGAUCGCUAAAUCAUCAUGAAUUUCUUGAGAAUCUAGUCUCGUUAAAACUGAAAUUUGUGAAUCAGAUGCCAGAGGGGAUGGAAUAGAAAUUAAUGUUCAGAAACCAUCUGAAUAACGCACUGACUAAGUUUCACACCAAACCAAACAAAAUUGUUGGUUACCAACCACUCAUCUAACAUCUCACUAAUCAAGCAGCAAUGACCUGGAAUCUUACCUAAGGAUCUUAGCAGUUAAUACCGACGAUAUAAAAGACAAAAAUAUAUGAGGAAACAUUGAAAGAAAAAAGAAAGCUCAAGUAGAUCUGACAAGCAAAUGCAUAGGAUUUCAUUUGUGACAAAUAGAACAAACAGUAUGUGAAUAUUUCCAAAACAUAUCCCUAAAUAUUCGAUCAAGAUCAUAGGGUUCACAACCAUACCGACAACAUCAGCCGAUGCAACUUUGCCAUCGUUCAGGAUGCUGACAAUUUUCUUGACCUCCUCGCUGGUCCCAUUCUGCGAAUACGGCCCAAAUAAAAACACAUUUAGCAUCAGAGUUCCAUGAUCUUAUAUUUUUUCCCAUAUUUAGUAGGCAAUCAAAAUCAAAGAGGACUAGAGAACAUGGAGUGGAGACAUAAAAAAGGAAACAGAGGUGUCCGAAUCCAGUAUAUCAAGAAGAUCGACUCUAAUUAGUUAAAAUUAGUGGAAACGAAUAAGAUUAAUAUGAAUCAGAGAAGAACGAGAGGAAACAGCAACAAAUCAUGCCGAUCGAUGGGAUCGGAUAACUUAAAGCUGACGAUCGAUGAAAGACGAGUAAAUCGGAGAGAUUUCCAGCAACAAGGACUGGCCAAGACCGCAAAUUUCACCAGCCAGGCUAUUAAGAUCUGCAAAAGUGGCAGUAGGGCAAAGUACCAAGCGCGAUCUAGAAAAAGGAAGAAAAGGGUAAAUGCGAGGAUUACGCAUUUCCAGUUGCCGCCGACGAAGAACUUCCUGGCCAUGUCUGAGGAGGUAGGCGACGAUGCUCAAAUCCAAAAGCCCUUUCCCUUGGCUUGGUCGAAUUAGAGGAUGCGGAGGUCUGGGCACUCAUAUAUACGGCGACUGAGACGAGAGGCGAUGGAAACAAGGGGAUGCAUUGGCACGAAUCUCGAACGUGCCAUUGGCUCCGAUGGGUGUCCGCGAUCGAUCCCGCCCGUCGAAUCAUAAGGAUCAACGAUCUGCUGUUUCCCCUUGACACAGCGAAUAGAUUUAUCAUGGAAUAGAUAUCUAGACACGUAGAUAAAGCUUCCGGGACAGGACCCACAUACGUGCCGUCGUGCACAGCUGCCGGCGAGCUGACGGUGCGAGUCCUGCGUGGUGAUUGGGUUCUCGGGACAUCGAUUACACGCCGUCGAGGGCAAUAUAAUAAGAUCCAGGCACUUGUAAUACAGGAGGAGCCCAUCGGAUCGUACAUCUGUGGGUUGGAUGAACACAGCUCUCCACGAUCAUUCUAUUAUUAUUAUUAUUAUAGCAAUAUUAUAAUUAUUAUUUAAGAUCAAGAUACAGUUAACAUUUUUAGCAACUAAGCUAGUAAACAUCUUUAAUUUCUUUUAAAAAAUAUAUUAGAUGAUACUUUGACCUUUAAUAUUUGGUAAGAAAGUAUAAUAUAUCAUCACUAUAUUAAUAUUUAAUAUAUUUAUUGUAAUAAUAUUAAUUAUUAUAAAUUUAUGUAUCGGAUAAAAUAUUAUUAUAAGAUAUAUCGAGCAUGAUAUAUCUAUAUAGCUACAAGAUACAUCGAUCCAAAAUAUAAGCAUUAAUGUAUAGGAUGAACCAUAAUUGGGCAAAGGAUUUCUUAUGACCGAUGCAACCACUUAGAGCUCGACGAAGACAAUCAAAAUGUUUUUUUACUCUUUAAGAAAAUUAGAUUGAGAAGAAAACAAACAGGAAAAAGAAUUUUUUGUAUUGGGAAAAGACAGCUACUUCACAUAACAUAAAGCACCGAAUACAACACUGCUACCGUAUCCGGAAAUCAUACAUACUUAAAGGUAAGUAUGAUCGACAUCAUCUCUAAGUCUUACGGAAGGAUACUCCCUAUUUAAGAGCAACAACGCUUCAGCAACUCACGUCUGAUAUCUGCAGUUCCCGUAACCUGCCACAGUCAAAGAAUGAUCAGCGCUGCAGGAAUCAGGAAGAACAGAGAGGGAAAGCGUGAGAUCAGAUAAAACGCAUGCGUCCACUUACUUGGGUCGGUCGAGGUGAGGACGCCGCUGCCGCCAAAGUAGCAGUUGAAGUCAUGGCGGCCGGCGGCCUGGUAGUAGGCGUUCAUGGCAUAAGAGGCGUGGGCCAAGAGCGUGUUGGGGUCGAAGCACGCGCCGCCGUUCUGUAUGGCCCCGCAAUCCGCCCCGCCGCUGCCGCACGCGUAGUCGAUGUUGUUCUGCAGCUCCGCUAGGCUCGCGUCCGCCGUUGCCACGCACCACCUCCAGGAAUCACCCGAGGGCGCCGGCGCCUGCAGAAUACCACCGUCACUCGAGUAUCGAACGGAAGCAAAACUCAUUUCUAGCAUGGCUGCCCCAACCAUGUUAUCUAGCAUGACCGUCCGACCCUUUGGUAUAGUAACUUUUUUAGAAUGACGUAUUUACCCUCAAUAUAAUACGUAUACUCCCCCAAAAAACAGUGUUUAGUGUCGAUUGGUUUGAAUCAAAUAUUUAAGAUAUCAUUAAUAACAUUAUCACCGUAAAAUUGAACGGAUGUUUAUGAUAAAUUUAAAUUUAGAAGGAUAAAUACGAAUACGUGUAUAAGUAUAAUAUACGCAAUUUUGAAGUAAAAGUAAAGAGGAGGACAGGACUCACAUUGUCGCUGUCGCGCAUAAGGCCGACGUCGUAGGACGGGGAGAGGUCGGCGUUGAAGAGCCCAAAGUGCCGCUCCGCAGUCGGCCCGGGCUUCAGGUUCUCGUUGAACAGCGCGAACACGUACGUCUCGAACCGCCGGCCCGGCAUCAUCGGCGUUCCCUUCCCAGAGUUCACCAGACGUAUCAGGUUGGCGUUGUAGGAGACCGCGUCCUCCACGCUCACACCGAGCUGGCCCGGGUCCCCGGCCGACGGCCACCCCGUCUCCCCCACGGCGAUCUCUACGUCUCCGUACCCCAGUCGCUGCAUCGCCGCUUGCACCGCGUCCAGCUGCGCCACGAACAUGUUGGUGUAGUUCACCCCCGUGGCCGGGUCGAACACCCCCGGGUUGGGGCGGAAGAGGGCGUAGUCGAGAGUGCGCGCUGUGUAGCCGAAGUAGGGGUAGGGGUUCACCACGAACGGGGUGCGCGUCCGGCGGUGGAAGUCAAGCAUCGGGGCGAAGAUGACGCGGUCGUAGCCGGGGCGGAAGCGGCCGGUGGAGGGCGGCUCGGAUGCAGAGAGGAUACCGAGGGAGUGGGGGGUGGAGACCCUGAUCUGGGGGAAGCCGGAUGCGGCAAGUGCCGCGGAGAGGGAGCGCAUAGCGGGGACGAGAUGGGCGAUGAGGUUGCGGUCGGAGGUGGCGAGAACCUCGUUUCCGACGGCGAUGAGGGAGAUGUUGGUCGCAGGGUAGAAGGGGGCGACGUUUAUGGCAACCCAGGCGGAGGCAGCAGGGGAUGGGGCAGAGGAGCGACGGGAGGCGAGGGAGGGGAUGUCCCCGUUGGGGACCGUGAUCAUGAGGGAGAUUCCGGUGCCAGCGAAGGCACGAAUGAUGUCCGGGUUGGCGUCGAAGAGCUUCACACGGUCGACGAAGGUGCGGUCCUUGAGGAAGGCGGCGACUUGAGCCGGCGGCGGGAGAUUGUCCGCGAAGGCACCGUAGUUGACGCCGACGGAGAGGGCCGCGGACAAGGAGAGAAGGUGGAGUAGGAGUAAGGGGAAAACGACGAGCUUCGCUGCUUUCGCUAGAGAAGCCAUUGCCGAGGGAUUUGGGGCUUUUGGUGGUGAAGCGAGACGGCGAAGGGGGGUGGAUUUAACGAGGGAAAAAGGUGUGCGAUGUUCCACUGACGCCUGUGGGCGCUGUCACGUGGCGACGACUUCGAAACGGGGAAUACGAACGUUAUGUUUCAAGGAGGCUGCCGCGAUCCACAUUCAAAUACGUGGACGGCUGAUUGGGGCGGUCCAAACAAUAGCUUUAUGGACUAUGAUUUAGUGUACAUAAAAGCGGGCGUUAUAAAGAUUACCAAUUCAUUUCCAACGCAAAUAAUCCACGAUGAUUGCAGAUAUUAAAUAUAUAAUCACGCAUUUGUAUAUACAUAUUUGGUAAUAAUUAGGGGUUUCUUUAAUUGGAUUAAUUAAGGUAUUAAUAGCUUAAGAAACAGGAGCAAGAGAAAGAGCUUGAUGGGCCAUAAGGAGCAUUUGGACCUAACUUUGAUGGGCUGUAGAACGGCUCGAUAGAAGCCUGUCAAAAUGUGAAGCUGACGAGAACCGUUAAACCCUAACCGGCCGACUACUCCCUCUCUCUUCCUUCUCAGCGCUCCGUGCUUGCUGGUGACGAAGGUAUGACCGCUACAGCUCGCUAAGGAUGCUGGCCCGAUUCGUUUCCCAUCGCGGCCCCUUCCGCUUCGUAGCCCUAACCACCGUAGCUUCCUCCCAUGUCCGCCGCGCCCCGUCCUCUCCCCCUCCUCUCCGGCCUCCGCCCACCUUUCUUGGUACUCUUACUCGUCUCGCUCUCCCUCCCUCCGAUCCCAAUUCCACUUUCUUUCCGUCUCUGAGGUCAUUCUCGAGCAAUCGAGGUGACGAUGACGAUGGCGACUGGAAGUUUACGCCGCAGUCCGACGAGGUCGGCUCCGUAUUCGGGGAGGAGGAGGGCGACCUUGCCGGGAUCGCUGAUGCCGCAGAGGGCGGGUCGGAGGUGGCCGCCGCCGGGGCCGACGUUAAGAGCGGGGAUCUGUGGGAAAAGGGUAUUGUGACGGAGGGUGAAGGGGAUAUUUUUUACGGCAUCGAUCGGGGGUUUGUGGCCAAGGAGGGCGGGGUAAGAGAAGGGAAUGAGGAAUGGGAGACGGCGGAGGGGUACAAGCCGUGGACGCUUGGUGACGAUGAUGAGAAAGGGGACUUGUUCGGUGUCGUCGAAGAAGGGGAGGCAGGGAUUGAGGGGAUCGAUGGCGGUGGUGUCGAGGAUUUGGAUAAGGCAAGGGCUGAUGAGCAGAAGCAGCUGGAGAAGAAAGAGGAAGAACUUUUAGCUGCUUUGAAAGGUAAGAAUCACAGAACACAUCUCAAGAAAGGAUCUUCUUGUUUAAUGUUACCCGAUUGAUGUUAAUCUCAACAGUCAAUGCUUAUGUAUGUACCCAUUUUCUGCAAGCUGAUUUGUAAUUAUCAUUGAUCUGGAAUUUUCUAUGUUGCAAUAUUUAUUGAAAAGGUUUUAGCUUGUCUCUUCAAUAAUUUGAAGCUUAUCCUAGUUGUUUGUUGUCUUGUACUGUCACCUGUGCUGAUAUAUGUUUGGGAAAGAAACUGCUUCUUUCUUUAGGUUUCUCACAAAUGACUGGUCAUGUUUAUUGUUGGUUUGAUGAUGAACUUUCUUGCUGUAUCGUCUCCCAUUCCAAUUGUUUUGGUUCUCAAAAUGUCUUGUUCCUGUAGCAAGUGGCAUGAAUGACAUAUGGCAAGUAGCAGUCUCUAUUCAACAACAACUAAUGUCAAGUUGUCUUGCUCCUACAACAUAUAAAUAUGAAAAAAGCAUGAAUAAUCUGAGACACAGGCUUUGCCAUCUUUCUAAUGUGUACACGAGAGAGAGAGAGAGAGGACUCAAAAUAUAUUUUGUGUUAAACAUCUUUGUUCUAUGGUUACAUGUAAAUCCAUUGAAGUAAGAUUAUUGAUUUAAACCUAAUACCUGUGUGAAGGAAUUGUAUGUUUAUCUCAUCACAUAAUGUUGCUUCUUAGUUUCUAUUGUUGUUGUCUUUUCACUAUUUCUUCUUGUGGAGUGAUAUAUUUCUAUUUCAUCAUGGAAUGCUGUUUCUUACCUUCUUUUGGUGUUAUUGGUGUUCUUUCUUCUUGUGAAGUAAAUAUGAUAAGAUUAUGAGAAUUAAAAUGAGAAAUAAUAUAUGUUUAUUUCAUCAUAGAACAUUGCUUCUUAGUAUCUUUUGUUGUUUUCUUUGCUCUUUCUUCUUGUGAAAUAAUGUGGCAAUGUUGUGAGAAUUAAAAUGACAUCCGAGGAAAACAUAAUCUAUCUUGUUUUUAGCUCGUUUUAGCCCUUUUUUCUUUAGAGUGGUGGAUGUUCUUGAUACUAGUUUUCUCUGAGAGAUUUUACUCUUCUGUUUUGGUGAUCGUGCUUCUUUGUCAUCUUUGUUCUUUUGGUUAUCUAGCAGAACUUUUUUGGUAGUCCAAUUUCAUAUCUUGUUAUUUUACUUCUUUCUUUUAAUUUAAAUAUCCUGAAGAUAGUACAGGAUAACUGUUAGAUAGUUGAAGAUGUUUGGGUUCUGUUGUAUUGUAUGUUGGUACUUUCAGAGUAGGACCAAUGAAUAGAUAAGAAGCUCCAUUCAUGUUAAAGAGACUCUGAUUGCUUGCAUCUUGUGUUUCUCCUUAGUACACAGCAAUGCAAACUGCUUAGGGCUCAAUGUUUAAAAUGGCAGGUCCAAAUCGGGCAUUUGGAGAUCUCAUUGCAGCAUCAGGAAUCACGGAUGAUAUGAUUGACAGUUUGAUUCUCUUGAAGGAUGUAAGCGGUGUCAAGGGUUUGCCUCCCCUGACAGAAAUUGAAGACAAAGCUAUUGCAAGAUUGAAUGAGACAUCAACAAGAGUUGAAAUUGAGCGGAAGAAACAGGAGGAAGUAGCAAAAGCUCGGGUUAGAGUGGUGGAUGAGAAGGGGAGAGCUUAUGGAACAGGAAGACGAAAAUGUAGCAUAGCUCGUGUAUGGAUUCAACCUGGUGACGGCAAGUUCAUCGUCAAUGAAAAGCAGUUCGAUGCUUACUUCUCAAUUCUUGAUCAUCGAGUACAACUUCUUCAGCCUUUCAUUGUGACAAAAACUCUUGGUCUCUGGGAUGUAAAUUGCACCGUCCAAGGGGGUGGAGUUUCUGGUAAGCUUUAUGACUACAAAAUUAUCUUUGUUUUGAGAAUUAUUGUAGAUGAACGAUCCAAUUUUAAGUAGAAAAUAACAGUGAUUUAAAAAGGUGCUUGAGCGCUCGCCUAGGUCUCGGGCAAGACGAGACGAGGCUCAAGCCCCUCGUUUAAGGGCCAGGUUGCGCGCUUCAAAGAGGCGUCGCCUGGGCGCUCGCUCCAGACUAGGCACCGGGUGCUUCGGGCAAUCGCCCGGUUUAAUUAAGCAAACCGAACCAGACUUUUAAGUCUGGUUUGGUUAAAUAAUAUAGUUUCUUACCUCAAGCCACCCUUCACUCUCGCACGACCCCGAGGAACCCUAGUGUUGCUUCUGCCUUUGUCAUCGACACUUUUUGUCGUUGCCUCCGCCACUAAUGCAAAGGACCAAACCUUCCUUUGUCGUCGACUGGCGAGUCCGACGCCCCCCGUAGCUUCCUUCCGCUGUUGCUCUGUGUGCAGUUCCUUCCACUGUCGAGGGAGUGGAUCGCAAAUUCCUUCGCCACUGACGGACACCCUCUGAAGCUUUUGUCGUUGUUGCUGUUGCUGUCCGCAGCUUUCGUUGCCGAUGUCCGUAACUUCCUCCAUUGGCGCUGUUGCUAUUCGCAACUUUCGCCGCUAUCACUGCUGUUGUCCGCAACUUCUACCGUUGUCGCUGUUGCAACAAUUUUAAACUGAUCCUCUGUUAUUGUUAACAUUUUUUUCUCCCCUCUAACUAUUGUUAAUAGUAAAUAAUAUACUGUUAACAGUAUAUUUUUAAUUUAAUAUCAUAUUUUAUUUAAAUAUUUUUUAUUAUUUUAUAUAUUUUAAUAUUUUAAUAUUUUAGAGCAUUUCGUUUUGCUCGGUGAGCGCCAAGUGCCUUAGCCAUUUUGGGACCUUGGUGCCUAGCGUUUUUUAAAUCACUGACAAGUACAUGUGUCGUAAGACAUACACAAGCAUUGUUAUAAAUUCUGUUUUUCUUAGUUGACGAACUGAAAGACAAAAAUUACCUUUGUAGAUUUAGAGAGGCUAUCUUUUCUUGUUUUUAGCUAUGGGACUGAUGCAACGAACCUCUUCGCUAUUGCAGGUCAAGUUGGUGCCAUUCGCUUGGGAAUCAGCAGAGCCUUGCAAAACUGGGAACCAGGGCUCCGGCCUUUCCUAAAAGCUGGUAAAUACUCUUACCAAAUUAGUUAUUAAGAUAUACUGUGAUAAAAUUUAACAAUCCAUUUUAAAUCCUAGCAUUGCAGUGUAACCUCAUCCUCAUUGUGCUUCUCAUGAACCCCCUCUUGGAUUUAGUAACCGACCUACCUUCAUCGCCCGUGUUUAGAUUCGAGUAGUGUGGCAUAUAGUGUGGUACUUAUUAUCCAACUGUUGACAUGGCUUGUGUGCUUCAUCUAGCUGGCUAUUUGACGCGAGACCCACGUGUAGUCGAACGGAAGAAGCCUGGAAAGGCCAAAGCCAGGAAGAGCUUUCAAUGGGUCAAGCGAUAACAGGUGUGGUUGUCAUUCCCUUUCUCACUGGAGAUACACUACCCUGUCACCAUUUAGGGGCUUACGAUGUUGAUCUGGAGAUGUAUCAUUUAUAAUGUGCAGGUUCUUGCGCAUCUUCUGCUCUCAGCUAUUUGGUAUUGCUGGCCCCUCAGUGAUGUUAUACCUCUGCUUGUUUUGUAGCCUGUAGCUCAAGAGAUCUUACUUACUACUUGCUCAUCCACUUGUGAUCAUAUAAUUAAUUUAUUUGAGCAACUGUAGGCAUCCAUCUAUCAAUCUUUUGCUUGUCAGCUUUUAUGUGGACCUUCUGUGUUUCAGAAUAAAGCGAACCAUCAAUUUUUCAAAGAGACACCAUUACUGUUCCAGAAUUGAAUUGAGGAAGGUAGUGAUGAUGUCUUGUUGUUUUUAAAGGUAACGGUGUAAAUCCUUUUAUCAAUAAUGUUUCUUUAGAAAAUUAUAAGACCUGAAAGUGAAUCAGAUUAUCAAUUUAUAUUUUACAUUGGAAAUUGUGCAAAAUGAUAUGUUGAACCUCAUUUCCCUUCUCUCCAUCUCUUCCGGUUUCUCCCAUUUGACAAACUUAUUGGGAAUAUUGAUCUGAAUUUAUUUUUAUAUCUGAGGAGUUAAUGACCUGACAAAGAUACACUUUUUGAUUUAUUUGUCGAGGAUUAAAGAUUCAAUGAUCUUUUUUGAUUUAUUUGGCAAGAAUUUAAUAAAUAAACAUUCAAAUUUUAUCAACAUUUUUUUAUACCAAAAAUAUUGAUCUUCUUGUUUAUCUGCAUAAUCAAUCCACUUCUCUAAAAUCACAAGCUCAGAACAGGAAAGCGAUAUGCAUCACAGGAAGAAAACUUGCUUCUUUUUCAAGUACUAAACGACACACAACACUCGAAACUAACAGCAGACGCACACAAACCACAGACAACAAGAUAGAAGCAAGAGAGAGAGAGAGAGAGAGAGGGAGAGGUCUGUUCUCUCUCUCAGCCAUGGUGACGAGAACAACAUCCUCCGAGGGAAGAGGGUUGAGACAGUAAGCCAUGGCCUUUUAUUUCCAUCACCAAGUCCAAACACAAGUCACUAACCCCACAACACCACCACCGAUGCUGCUCCUCUCCCUCUUCAAACUCUGAUCAUCUCCCUCAUUUGCAGUUGCAGGGAUCGCAGGUGCAGUUGGAUCCGCACUUGCAGCCAUUCUCGGACCCUUCAGCUGCCAUGUCCAACUCCUCAAAGUUCCUGCAACCAACCCCAAACAAUGUUGUCCAUCACUCGUACAGUAAUCAUGUCAAAGAUCAACGUUUUCAGAGUUAGGAACAGACCCUUUCUGAGGAACAACCCCCAUAACCAUGGUUUGGGCGGUGGUAUC